This is a non-coding RNA of Sus scrofa (pig), 8884 nucleotides long. The record is from RefSeq and is a predicted model, not a curated record. NCBI's taxonomy places the organism in Eukaryota, Metazoa, Chordata, Mammalia, Artiodactyla, Suidae.
CUUCCAUAUGCUUCAGGUGCAGCCCUAAAAAGCAAACAAAACAACAAAACAAAACAAAAAAAAACUCCACAAAUCAAAGCAUGUAACACUUGUGUUUUCAUUGCUGCAAUGAUGUACACUUGCUUUUAGAAUAAAACACAAACUCAACAGGGCUAUAGAAUCCUAUUGAUUUGGUUGUCCAAAUUCAUCUUUCACAACUCUCUUAACUCUAAUUUAUUCCUUUCUGAUAUGGCCAUAUUGACCUUCUGUAUUCCUGAAGGUGGCAUGUUCUCUUCUGCCAGAAAAUUUGCAUUAAGGUGUUUGCAUAAGUUGCUUCCAUGGCCUAGAAUAUUCUUUCCUUAGAAGUUGAAAACUUCUUUUCUUCCAAGUCCCAAAUAAAUGAAUAUUUUAGCUAAGUGUACCUAACUAUGCUGUGCUCAGAUCCAACUAUCAUCUCUCUCUCAUUGCAUUAAUUCAUUUUAUUCACAGACUUCACUGUUGUCUAAAAUUAUCUUUCUUUUUAUUUUUCAUUUAGUCGGUUUAACUAUUGAUAGUUCUUAUCAGUAGAAAUGGAAGUGCCACAAGAGCAGUAGAUAUUUUUGCCUUAUUAACCACUAUAUUCCAAGUGUCUAGAUUAGUAACUGGCAUAAAGUUGGCACACAAUAUAUAAUUAAAUGAACCCUUCAAUGGGAGAGUCAGGUGGGGGAUUUGAUAAAAAGAGAAAAUGCAAAAUAGUGCACCUUUAAAGAUAAGGAGCACAUGCUAGUUUUUUUUUUUUUUUUUGUCCUUAAAGAAGUUAACUAAGCUAUCAGUUGAAGAUGGAAUGUUCAAGUAUUUAUUACCAUCAUUUCACACACCCAGUAAGAGGUUAAUGAAACACAAAGAAAAGUUACAAAAAAUAAAGACCUCUUGCUUGAAAUUGAUGAAGCAGACUUUUUGCUCUUUCUAACUCCAUCUACUCCUAUAUUAGCACAGUAGUCACUUGCAGAGCAUAUGGAAGCUAGCAUAUGGAAGCUAGCUAGUAUAAUGAUUGAAAGAUAAACAUCUGGAUAAUGGAAGAAGUGAUGCUGAACCUUAGAUUAAUUGCAUUUUAAGGAAUUUCAGUGACCUAACUUGAGUCAAGUUUAAAGAACAAAAUCUACAUUAAGAUGACACAGAAAAAAAAAUUGAAUGGGUUCAGUAAAAAAAAAAAAAUAUAUAUAUAUAUAUAUAUAUAUAUAUAUCUUUAGCAAUGCUUUCUUGAGUUGUCUCUAACUAUUGAUGCUAGAUAUAAUGUACAAGUCCUUAACACCAACCCCCUCCUUCUAUACUUCUCCCUACAUGUAAGGGACUGGACCCCUUUCCUAGGCUGCUUUACCUGAUGGGUUCUAGUUUAGUUACACCAGUAAGAGGCAUUCUUAAGAAAUGUGAAAUGUGCAAGAGGGAAAGAAGCUAUUAUUCUCCUCCAGAAGGUUGAUGUGGGAAUAGAUAGAGUAUGAUGGUUGCAGUGGCAUCAUAGUGGCAUUCCUGUGAACUCCUGAAAAUGCUUUAUUUUGCUGAUUCAGGAAGCUGUAAUCUCUAACAUCAACUUUCUUUGUUCAUAUAUCUUGUGUUUCUGAAAGCUAGCAACAGUUCACUUUUUGAAAGUCAGUAGUAGCUCUUUCUGAUCUAAUUUUAUUAAUGGAAAUACCUGCAGAAAAGAAAAUGGGGCAGAGUCUGGAAGGGCUGAGUAAGCCUUUAGACCAUGACACAUGUGAACCAGAGUUAAGGAGAGCCAAGCAAGUACAGAUAGAAGUGUCCUAGACUUUCAAGCAAUCCGGGUAAGAUUAAACACAGCCAGUGGCAGUCCUCAAGUCAAAGUCAGCUAUUUGAAGGAGUCUUUUUUUUUUUUUUUAACCUAGGAAUAAGCCUCCCUUAGCAUCUCUGUGAUGGAUUUCAGAGGCAGCACCUCUGAAAUCAGAGGUCAAUCAAGCUCCAAGAAGCUGGAAAUCCUCCAGGUAUAUACUCAGGAACCUUAUAGUCACCCACCUCCCUGGGGUCUCACUGUCUUCAUUUGACAAAGGAAAUAAAAAUACCCACCUCAUCUCACUUUGUCCCCAUGAGGAGCCUAUAAGUGAAUUCAUGUCAAAAUACCUAAAAUAGAAAACUUUCCAUAGCCAAUAAAGGAAGGAAUUCCCGGGAAGGGAGAAAAAUAACUUCAGAAAUGAUCUAACAUGCUGUGGUAAAGUAAUUCUCUAUCGAAAAAAGAGCUAUGAAACCAAUGCAUACUCCAGACGGUGCUUAGUUUUACCAGGGAAACUCACCAGAAUCCAAAACAAAAACAAAUGUGAGCAGUACCCACAGACCUAUGCUAUGGUCUUAAUACCAAAUCUCACUUGGCUAGCUCAGCUCUCAAAGAGAAAAAUUGACAUAAAAUGUCAGUUCUCAGAAUACGCAUACCUUUUAAAACCAUCAAUAUUCCUCUGAUUUACCAGCUAAUUUAAUUUAAUAAUUGUAUUAUUCUGCUGUGGCUUUGUACUUAACUGAUGACAUAAUUUUUCCCACUAGAGGUACAUCUUUAAGACAAUAAUCCCAAACUUUCUACUACUACUUUCUUAAGAUGAGAAAAUAAAAAAUAAAAAAUUUGCCUUAAGAAUUGAUAGCCUUCACAGAAACUAUAUUCAAUCACUUGUAAUGGAACAUGAUGGAAGAUAUUAUGAGAAAAUGAAUGUGUAUAUAUAUAUAUAUAUAUAUAUAUAUAUAUAUACACACAUAUAUGUAUGUAUGUGGGUCACUUUGCUGUACAGCAGAAAUAGACAGAACAUUAUAAAUCAACUAUAAUAAUUUUUUCAAAAGGAAUUGAUAGCCCAUUCUCAAAUUUACCAGUGAAUAAAGAGAAAUGAUAAGUUAGCUCCUACCUCCUGGAUCUCAUCACACUGUCCCUUCAAGGAACUUCCCCAUUCUAUUGAUGACAUUGAGAACUUUGGUAAGUGUUAACAAAAAACAGUCCAGUAGAUCUGGUCACUGUCUUUACUGUAAGGACUUAAAUGCUUUCAAUACAUUAAACAAUAACUUUUCUGUGAGAAACCUCAGAAUAUAUUUCUCUCUGAUCUUAAUAAGAGAAUUCUCACUUUGCCUUACUGCAGGAUUGUAAAACUAUUAAAGCUAGAACUGUGCAAAGCUCUCUUAAUAAUCAAUACAAACAUUUUUCAGUAUUCUAUAACCUUAAUUUCCCAAGACAUUAAAAUUCUUAGUCUUAGGGAUAAAUGUACAAGGAAUUAAAAAUAGUAAAGCUACUAUUGAUUAAAUGUACUCUAAGCUAUUAAAAACAUUGAAAAUUAAAGUGUUUUAUCUCUUUGUAAAAAAUAAAACUUAUCAGAAGUAGUUUAAACAAUGCUUACCUUCUCAACUUAGAAUAGGAAGCAAACAUUUUAUACACCUUGGAAAAUUGUCAUAUAUUACUUUAUAUGUUUGCAUCAACUCACAACAUAUAUUCCUCUUUAUGCUUUACUUUCAAUGCUGUAAAAUAACUUUAGAAAGUUCCAUUAAUGUGAACUUUUGAUGGCAUUACUUUCUCUGCAUCCUUUUUAUCCCAUCAACUUUCCUCAUUUAUGUCUAUAAGGUGGCCUUCACUAAGUUCCUCUGACUGCAUGUCUACAUUUCUCAAAUGAUGGCAGUGCCAACAUUUCUACAGUCAGCUAUUUCUUUUAUGAUUCCACAUAAAAUUAAUCAGAGUUCCCAUUGUGGCACGGUGGAAAUGAACCCAACUAGCAUCCAUGUGGAUGUGGGUUUUAUCCAUGGCCCUCUCAGUGGGUUAAGGAUCCAGCGUUGUGUUGAGCUGUGGUAUAGGUCACAGACCCAGCUUGGACCCUGCAUUGCUGUGGCAGUUGUGUAGGCUGGUAGCUGUACCUCUGAUUCAACCUCUAGUCUGUAAUUUUCACUAUUAUCAUAUUUGUUUACUUACUGCAUUUCAUCUUUGUUGGCCUAUUCUUUCUUUUGAUAAUUUAUCUUGUAAAGUAUCACAUGGGUUCUUACUUGGAGACAAGAAAGCAACACAAGUGUAUGCUUUAAUGUCUGUGCAUGCUGUCUGAAAACAAUCACCAAGAGCUUGAGAAGGAAGUUUCAUGAUUGAUCACUGAAAAUGUUGUAUGUAGAUAUUGAAUAAAUGGUUAGCAGUGAAAUGUAGAGUUCUUGCAAUAAUGCAUAGUUAAUAUAUCACGGUAACCAAAAUUUGGAUCAUGUUGUUGGAGGACUAAUAUUAGUUAACUAAAGCAAAAUAAUGGAAACUGAAAUCCAUGAAUAUCAUAACUAUGCAAAGUGACAACUGCAGGCAUUAGCAUAGUGAAGCUUUCUUAGAGCAAUGAAAUUAUUUUAUUAUAUGGAUCAGUACUAUCCUAAAGAGAUACAAUGAAUUGCAAUUGCAAGCCACCUAUGUAAUUUUAAAUAUUUUAGUAGCCACUUUAAAAGUGAAAAAAACAGGGAAAAUUAAUUUUAAUAAUGUAUCAUAUUUAACACAAAAUAUAAAAAUGUCAUCAUUAAAACUUAAUUGCCAUAAAAUUAUUAAUGAGAUAAUUAUAUUCUUCUUUUAUUCUAGGUAUGAACUUCAGAGUGCAUUUUACACAUGGGACUUUUUAAUUUGGACUAGCCACACCUCAAGUAUCUAAGUCACAUGUGGCUAGAGACUACUUUUUUGGACAAGAUGAAUACAGAUACUAAAUACAUAACAAUCACUUUCCUCUUUCUGUUGGAUUUUAAAGAAUCUUUAUUUCUCUUAUCAAGAAGUAUAGCACAUUCAACAGACUGGCUUUUCAUUGCAAAACACUCUGUGGAGGACAACAUGAUUAGCAGAUGAAUUUGAUAAGCUCUCUUUAAAUCAGAUCCCUAUUAAAACAAGCAACUGGAAGGUUCUGAGUAUAUUGGUCCUCCAAGAGUCAAAGAUGCAGUGGUUUCAUAGUAGAACAAAGAUGAAGAAGAAAAGACAAAAUGCCACUCUGAAAAGUAAUUGUUUGAAGUGCUCUGCGGGGGAAAAAAUCAUGUUCAAUGUAUUCCAUGCCAUUGCUUCUGUGUAUGCAGGAGAAGCAUGUUGCAGUAUUGAAUUGCAAAGGAUCGUAUUUCUUUAAAAUUAUUUGGAAAUAAUAAAAAUAUAAUAUCCAUCUACAAUCACCUAUGUAGCAAAUAAGGCAAAAUGCCCUUACAACAGAGCAGAGGAUAUGUAUGUGCUAACUAUAUUUUCUUGCAUAAUGGUACAUGUUUGAAACCUAACAAAUACUAAAAAGACAAAGACAAAAAUGGGAAGAAAGUAAGCUCCACUUCUGAUAUGAUGCCACCAGGCUGAGGCAUCUUUAAGCAACCAGUCCUGGCCUGGCUUGUGAAUAGGGGAUAAAGGUAGUGAGGGUGUGCUAGAAAAAAAUAUGAAUUGUUCCAAGAUCAUCCAUCCUUUCAAGUGAGACUUGACUUGGUCUGUGAAAUUUCUGCCCAGAAACCAGGGAUGAGAAUAUAAGAGGAUGGAAGGUCAUUCCACUUCUUUUGGUAAACACAAUUUAAAAAUAGAGGGCUUAAAUAUAUGAUAAUUUACGGAUCAUACAACUAUCCUGUGAAGAAUUCAGUGCAGCCCAAAUUGACUUUCUUAUCCUGCUCGAUCCAUAAAAUAUGCUUAUUUUUUCCACUAUAUCUGUGUAUUUAUUUCAUAGCUCCCUGUCCAAAUCAAAGAGAAAUACUGUUUUGUCAAAAAUUGAAUUUCUUUUAGUUUGAGUUUUUAAUCAUUUAAUUUUGGGACUUCAGAAUUUUUCUGGAUGAAGUAGAUUAUGACUAUUAUGAAAACAUUAAAUGUUCCACUUGCCAAACUUAAACACACACACAGAAUGCCAGUGAGUCAUUAAUUUUUUUACAUCAAAUAUUCUCAAUCUGCUAAUAACAAACAUUUGGUUGAUCUCAAAAAAGUUUUUUACCAGGGGACUUGUGAUGAUAUAAUGUUCCAUAAUUCUCCUCCCUAAAUUCUCAUCUCAAACUCUUACAAUAUGUAUGAAAGCAUAUAUUCUACUUAGGUAUCCUUGAUAUUGAGUCCCUCAGCAUCUCCUAUCUCCAAAUUUCCUGGCAAUAUAGAGCACAGUAACCCAGGACUACUUACAAAUUUUAGUUAUGACCUGGUAGAGGUUUCUCAGUUUCUCUUCAUUAGUAAUAAAAUCAGAACCACAACCUUCACCAACAACACUUAUUGGGCUAUUCUGUGAGCCAAGUAAUUUUCUAAGAACAGUACUCAUACUAACGCCUUUAAUAUCCACAAUAGGCCUACUGUUAUUAUUUUGCACUUUAUAGAUGUGAAAAUUGAGUUUCAAAAUGAAUCCAAGGUACAUAUCUAAUAUGUGUUGCAGCUAGAAUCCAACAAACCCACAUGGGUUCAGAGUUCAAAUCCUUAACAGACAUGGUAUACUGCCUCCAAUGUAAAAACUUAGGCUCCUUCAGUGGUUGUUGAAAACUUUUUAACAGAUGAGUCCCAUGAAAUGUUAUGCACUAGCCCAGUUUUUAAGGCAAAUAACAUUAGAUUCUUCUGAUUAAAUCAAUACUGAUAAGUUUCUUGCCUUAUCUUACUUUUAACCUGACUGGACUCUGAUCACAAGGAAACCCUGGGACUCAAAUUGAGCAUGGCAAUUACUUUAAAAAUACUUUCCAAAAUAAAUUUAAGUGCAUACUUCCUAGACAAGCAAUAGAUUGGCUGAAUAAAAAUUGUGUAUAUUUUAAUUUUCCAGGUAAUUCUUCUUUUUAAAACAAUCCUAUUAGUGAAUUUUAUGGUCACAGUUAAAUCAAACUUUACUUUCUUUUUUGAUUUAUAAUUUUGUACUAUACUGUCUCACUUUUGUGGCAACACCUUCUAUUUUAAAGAUGAAAAAAGUAAUAGAUUUGCCUUUAAAGACUAAAAUUAAAAAAAGCUUAUAUCCUUUAAGAUCAAAUGAGAGAGAUCAUUUAGGAAAAAGUGGGAGGAAUUAUUGUCCAUGGAAAUGCAUCAUUUAUAAUUAGAUUAUUCUUAACUCAAUAUUCUAGUUAUAUUUUAUUCUUUAGUCUCUCCUCUUAAUCUUGAAUAUCUCCAAUUCUCAACACAAUUAAUCAUAAAUAAUUGUUAAAAUUUAUAAAAGUAAAAUGUAAUCUCUGACACUAAAUACGGUAUUAGAUAAUCUUUUGACAUCUUCUUUUAAACUAAUAUCAAAGUGGGAAAAGAGUUAAAAACAUUUUCCUUGGGUUAAUCUGCAUUAUUAAAUUAAGAUCCUAAAGCAAAUUAAGUGCCCAGUAAAAGAAAGCCAUUGCCAGGGGAAAAAAAAAAAGAUAUAUUUAGAAUUUUAUCUUAUUAUUUUUGGAAAAAAAAAUUCAAUGCUAGAAUUAAAAAGGAAAAAAUAGUUAUGGCAACUUACUUUUAUAAUUCCCUUUCCAUGAACUUUAGUGCUGUUUUCCACCCAUCUCAUUUCAGUGCUUUUCUUUCAGCCUCAGUCUUUCACUCCUACUGCCCAUCUCUCUUCACUCUGCCUCUGACUAUGUAACCAGAUUAAGUCCUUGCUUGCUGACUAUCCCAAAAGAGACUUUUCAUGCAUAAUUACUAGACUCAAAAAUACUGAAUUCUUUAUUUAAGAACUCCAUAUUUCAGAAACAUAUUUUAUAUUUUUCCUGGGAAUUCUUAACCUACUUCGAGGAAAUUCCCUUUCAGAUUAGAUGAGUGAAACUUUAGGAAAAAAAAAAAAAUAAGUGGAAGAAUAAAUGGUACACAUUUUUUUGGUUCAUUAAAAAAUGUUCCUAAUGGAAAUUUUUGCUACAAAGUUUAUUCCUCUUCAACCUAGUAAGCAGCUUUAAGUUCUCUUCAUACCUGCUGACAAGCAGUAUUUCUCUAUGAUUUCUCAGCCAACCAUGGCAUACUUGAGGAAAAAAAUAGGCCUCUUAAAUUUUCCUAGUUAGAGGUUUAUUAAAACACCCCUUUGACUAGAAGGGAACUAACCACUAGGGAAUAAGAAAAAGGCAAAAAUGAUAGGGUAGAUUUCUUCUCUGGAGUUCUUAUAAAGAUUCAAGUAUCUGUUUCUCUUUUCCAGAAACUGCUCUGAGGACACAAGAGUACUUGUGAGAGUCCCACUUUCACAAUAGAAAGAUGGCAACCUCACUGUUAAUCUGUGACAACAAACUAACGCAAAAACUGCUCAAGACAAAGCAGGCUUUGGAUAAUUCCUGUUUCACACACACAUAUGCAAAUAUCUGAUUUUCUUCUGCUAUUUCUGGAAUAUCUAAUAAUUACUGCAAAUCAACCUAUUUAUAUAUCAGGAUUUUGGCCUAUUUCAUGAUCCUAUUAUGUGUCUUAUAGAAUUAAAUUUGAAAUAUACUUGCAUUUUGAUCAAUCCUUCCAAGCACUGUACUAGCUUUUAGUCUUUUUAAGUUGUAUUUUCAUAAAAAUUUUUGAAUUACUCUGGAAAUGUUUAAAUUUCAAAAUAAGUUUUGCCACUAAAAAUUUACCAUGAAUUCCAUUACAUAAGCAUGUUUUAUUUAAAUCCCAAACUUCUGGGACAAUUUGUAAAUAGUCAAAUCAAGAGUAAUUAAAAUAUAAUUUGAAAAAAAUCAUCUAUUAUUAAAUAAAGUGUUAGUAAGCUAACUGUCCUUUUUUUAGUUUAUUCUAAUUUAAACAACUUUAAUCAAAUUUAUUCUAAUAUUUUCAUUAAAAUCCUAAUUGGCCACUGCUGAUAUGUGGAAAAAUUCUAUAAAUGUAGGUUAAUUUUGUGUCCCUUAAUUUAGUAAGCUCUCUUAGAAAUUAUCCAAGUUUCUCAGUUGCUCUUAUAGAUUUUCUAGGCAGAUGAUCACAUAAUGUUCUUGCCUAGAGACAUGACCUAUUAUUUUAAAAUUUUUAUUAUAGCAUAUUUACAAUGUUCUGUCAAUUUCUGCUGUACAGCAAAGUGACCCAGUCAUACAUAUAUGUGUAUAU